RNAcentral lists this ribosomal RNA (301 nucleotides) under uncultured bacterium. RNAcentral describes it as "partial 16S ribosomal RNA". It matches the Rfam family "Bacterial small subunit ribosomal RNA", at positions 509 to 807 of the family's 1533-position model. The record is from RNAcentral.
CAGUCGCCGCGGUAAUACGGAGGGUGCAAGCGUUAAUCGGAAUUACUGGGCGUAAAGCGCACGCAGGCGGUCUGACAAGUCAGAUGUGAAAUCCCCGGGCUUAACCUGGGAACUGCAUUUGAAACUGUCAGGCUGGAGUCUUGUAGAGGGGGGUAGAAUUCCAGGUGUAGCGGUGAAAUGCGUAGAGAUCUGGAGGAAUACCGGUGGCGAAGGCGGCCCCCUGGACAAAGACUGACGCUCAGGUGCGAAAGCGUGGGGAGCAAACAGGAUUAGAUACCCGGGUAGUCCCUGUCUCUUAUAC